CAUUCAACUUGGAUGGUUAUGCCGUUGACUGUCUUCGGCAUAACCAUUCAACUUGGAUUGUUAUGCCGUUGACAGUCUUCGGCAUAACCAUUCAA
Molecule: microRNA precursor, 95 nt
Filed under: Paramuricea clavata
Lineage: Eukaryota; Metazoa; Cnidaria; Anthozoa; Malacalcyonacea; Plexauridae
Source: RNAcentral